Molecule: ribosomal RNA, 253 nt
Filed under: uncultured bacterium
Lineage: Bacteria
Description: partial 16S ribosomal RNA
Rfam family: Bacterial small subunit ribosomal RNA
Source: RNAcentral
UACGAAGGGGGCUAGCGUUGCUCGGAUUGACUGGGCGUAGAGGGCGCGUAGGCGGUUCGUACAGUCAGACGUGAAAUUCCUGGGCUCAACCUGGGGGCUGCGUUUGAUACGUGCGGACUUGAGUGCGGAAGAGGGUCGUGGAAUUCCCAGUGUAGAGGUGAAAUUCGUAGAUAUUGGGAAGAACACCGGUGGCGAAGGCGGCGACCUGGUCCGAUACUGACGCUGAGGCGCGAAAGCGUGGGGAGCGAACAGG